GUGUUGUAUGAAAGGAGAGAUGUUUAGCACUCCCCUUGACAAGGACGGAACACACAAGACCUUUAGGAAGGCACUCUGCUUACUUCGCAGACCCUAAAGGCCACAUUUUU
Small nuclear RNA from Tetranychus urticae (two-spotted spider mite), 110 nucleotides. Lineage: Eukaryota; Metazoa; Arthropoda; Arachnida; Trombidiformes; Tetranychidae. The record is from Rfam.